AAAAUGUUUUUGAUUUUUGUAUUUGGCUGACACAUUUAUCGUCUUAUCAUUGCAUGGGGCAGUCAAUGAGUUGGAGAGUACAAGCAGCCUUUGCUAAGUUUCUUUGUCUUUUUGUUUUUAUUUUCUUUUAUAUGCCUUUUUAUUCUUUAAUUUCUUUUCAUUUGUCAUCUUCACUAGCUGGCAAUGUCACGAGUGUUUGUCCUGUGAUCCCCUUUCUAAAUAUCUCGAUACAUAUAUACAUAUACAUGUCACAUGUGCAUAUAUAUAUAUGCAUUUGUAUAUAUAGUUUCUGUAUGUAACAUGUUCCUACCAUAUCCUCAAAGGAUUGUCCCCAUCAUAUUUUAAUUUAACGGUCCAAAAUAAACAACUCUGUUUCAUUCACGCGUCUUCAUUAUUGAUGUAAUUUACGGUUAAAAAAACAGCUUCAACAAAAAAUUAACUCUAAGGGACAUAUAUGCAAGUGAUGGAAGUAAGGAGGCCCAUCGACAUGAAACGAGAGGGAGAGAUGAUAUCGUUGUCUCACCAAAAACAGACAGCUCUUCUCUCAUCUUCUUAUUUAUAUAUUUUCCCCUGCUUUUCAUUUUACUGUUCUUAAAUUGUUUUCCUUAUAACCUUAUUUUAAAUAAGAGUAUAAUUACUUGUUAAGUAAUCCAUGUAGAUAAUUCUCUUGUUUCUUAA
This is a long non-coding RNA of Camelina sativa (false flax), 678 nucleotides long. RefSeq lists it as uncharacterized. The record is from RefSeq and is a predicted model, not a curated record. NCBI's taxonomy places the organism in Eukaryota, Viridiplantae, Streptophyta, Magnoliopsida, Brassicales, Brassicaceae.